GCAUAUCAAUAAGCGGAGGAAAAGAAACCAACAGGGAUUGCCCUAGUAACGGCGAAGUGAAGCGGCAACAGCUCAAAUUUGAAAUCUGGCUCUUUUAGAGCCCGAGUUGUAAUUUGCAGAGGGCGCUUUGGUGUUGGCAGCGGUCCAAGUUUCCUUGGAACAGGACGUCACAGAGGGUGAGAAUCCCGUACGUGGUCGCUAGCCUUCGCCGUGUAAAGCCCCUUCGACGAGUCGAGUUGUUUGGGAAUGCAGCUCUAAAUGGGAGGUAAAUUUCUUCUAAAGCUAAAUACUGGCCAGAGACCGAUAGCGCACAAGUAGAGUGAUCGAAAGAUGAAAAGCACUUUGGAAAGAGAGUCAAAUAGCACGUGAAAUUGUUGAAAGGGAAGCGCUUGCAGCCAGACUUGCCUGUAGUUGCUCAUCCGGGCUUUUGCCCGGUGCACUCUUCUAUAGGCAGGCCAGCAUCAGUUUGGGCGGUUGGAUAAAGGUCUCUGUCAUGUACCUCCUUUCGGGGAGGCCUUAUAGGGGAGACGACAUGCAACCAGCCUGGACUGAGGUCCGCGCAUUUGCUAGGAUGCUGGCGUAAUGGCUGUAAGCGGCCCGUCUUGAAACACGGACCAAGGAGUCUAACAUCUAUGCGAGUGUUUGGGUGUCAAGCCCGAACGCGUAAUGAAAGUGAACGGAGGUGGGAACCCUUACGGGUGCACCAUCGACCGAUCCUGAUGUCUUCGGAUGGAUUUGAGUAAGAGCAUGGCUGUUGGGACCCGAAAGAUGGUGAACUAUGCUUGAAUAGGGUGAAGCCAGAGGAAACUCUGGUGGAGGCUCGCAGCGGUUCUGACGUGCAAAUCGAUCGUCAAAUUUGGGCAUAGGGGCGAAAGACUA
Molecule: ribosomal RNA, 879 nt
Filed under: Subplenodomus apiicola
Lineage: Eukaryota; Fungi; Ascomycota; Dothideomycetes; Pleosporales; Leptosphaeriaceae
Description: LSU rRNA
Rfam family: Eukaryotic large subunit ribosomal RNA
Source: RNAcentral